Molecule: long non-coding RNA, 706 nt
Filed under: Homo sapiens (human)
Lineage: Eukaryota; Metazoa; Chordata; Mammalia; Primates; Hominidae
Description: HSALNT0392951
Source: RNAcentral
CACAUAGGCAAUCUUUCAUGGCGUGCCGUGAGUUCACUGAAGUCUGUCUCAGCACACACUCACACAUGCACGCUCAUACCCGUGCUGAGUGAAUCCAGUUAAUUCCCAGAGAACUGCAAAUAAAGUGUCAGCACUUUAGGAUGCUGCAUCAAAUACCAUUCUACAAAAGAGGAGAGCUUCAGCCAGUUCUCUUCACCACUUCCAAAGCGAGGAUGAAAAUUCCACCUGCUCGUCAAAACUCAGCCAGAGCUCAGCCUCCCUCCAAUGAGAAAAUGUCCCCUGUGCUACAAGCUGAAGCCACAAAGACCAGUGUCAACGGAGGAGACCCUAGUGCCCACAAAUAAAGCCCAGCACUGUACAUCCACGUAAAGUCCUGUGAAGUCAGAAGUAAGGGAGAAAUUAAGGAUUUAGUAGGGUCCCACAAAGUCUUUGGAACCAGAUCUGAUUGUUUCCUUUAGUUAAAUUCACUCAAACAUGCAAGCAUUUGUAUAAACAUCAAUGUUUUUUUCAGUGAUUCUGUGGGAUUCCUAAAAUGUGCAUCUCUUUAGUCUAAGAUGAAACACUGGUUAUAGGAUGAAAAAAAUUAAACAUGCAUUCUUCAGCUCUCAGACCUCAACCACAAACUGAAGUCCCAGAAAGAGUCAUUAAAUCACAAUGUGUACUUAAAAUAACAAAUUUGAAAUAAAAAAUGUUCCAAGACAUUAAA